RNAcentral lists this ribosomal RNA (400 nucleotides) under Staphylococcus aureus. RNAcentral's name for it is "partial 23S ribosomal RNA". It matches the Rfam family "Bacterial large subunit ribosomal RNA", at positions 1 to 394 of the family's 2925-position model. The record is from RNAcentral. Lineage: Bacteria; Bacillati; Bacillota; Bacilli; Caryophanales; Staphylococcaceae.
GAUUAAGUUAUUAAGGGCGCACGGUGGAUGCCUUGGCACUAGAAGCCGAUGAAGGACGUUACUAACGACGAUAUGCUUUGGGGAGCUGUAAGUAAGCUUUGAUCCAGAGAUUUCCGAAUGGGGAAACCCAGCAUGAGUUAUGUCAUGUUAUCGAUAUGUGAAUACAUAGCAUAUCAGAAGGCACACCCGGAGAACUGAAACAUCUUAGUACCCGGAGGAAGAGAAAGAAAAUUCGAUUCCCUUAGUAGCGGCGAGCGAAAUGGGAAGAGCCCAAACCAACAAGCUUGCUUGUUGGGGUUGUAGGACACUCUAUACGGAGUUACAAAGGACGACAUUAGACGAAUCAUCUGGAAAGAUGAAUCAAAGAAGGUAAUAAUCCUGUAGUCGAAAAUGUUGUCUC